This 72-nucleotide transfer RNA is filed under the name Monimopetalum chinense. RNAcentral describes it as "tRNA-Arg". Lineage: Eukaryota; Viridiplantae; Streptophyta; Magnoliopsida; Celastrales; Celastraceae. The record is from RNAcentral.
UCUAUAUUAAUAUAGGAUCCAUUUGAAUCAAAUAGAAUAAAACAGACAGAAUAAAACGGAAUAAGAAGAAUU